RNAcentral lists this ribosomal RNA (560 nucleotides) under uncultured bacterium. Its description in RNAcentral is "partial 16S ribosomal RNA". It matches the Rfam family "Bacterial small subunit ribosomal RNA", at positions 355 to 928 of the family's 1533-position model. The record is from RNAcentral.
UGGGGAAUAUUGCACAAUGGGCGAAAGCCUGAUGCAACAACGCCGCGUGAGUGAUGAAGGCCUUCGGGUUGUAAAGCUCUGUCUUUUGGGACGAUAAUGACGGUACCAAAGGAGGAAGCCACGGCUAACUACGUGCCAGCAGCCGCGGUAAUACGUAGGUGGCGAAGCGUUGUCCGGAUUUACUGGGCGUAAAGGAUGCGUAGGCGGAUUUUUAAGUGAGAUGUGAAAACCCUAAGNUUAACUUGGGGACUGCAUUUCAUACUGGGAAAAUCUAGAGUGCGGGAGAGGAGAAUGGAAUUCCUAGUGUAGCGGUGAAAUGCGUAGAGAUUAGGAAGAACACCAGUGGCGAAGGCGAUUCUCUGGACCGUAACUGACGCUGAGGCAUGAAAGCGUGGGUAGCAAACAGGGAUUAGAUACCCUGGUAGUCCACGCCGUAAACGAUGAGUACUAGGUGUAGGAGGUAUCGACCCCUUCUGUGCCGCAGUUAACACAAUAAGUACUCCGCCUGGGAGUACGAUCGCAAGAUUAAAACUUAAAGGAAUUGACGGGGGUCAUAGCUG